AGGCCGGCAGAAAUAGGUCAAAGAGAUAGGAUAGCAAGGCGUCGCAAUGCGGUAACUAUGCUCACAUCUCCCAUAAUCAGGCGCAGACCAUAAUGAAACCUUCUUCCCUUCACUUCAAGGGAAAGGGCGGCAUGAUGCAGCACUAGAGUGACAAGAAUAGCUCAAAUGCUAACCGCAAAGUUGACAGAUUUAGCCAUCCUGUUGAGAAAGUGAAGAAGCUCUCACACGAAGCCUGGCCAUGGUGUGAAAUACAGGUAUCUGGAUGGUUGGAGAGCUAAACGGUCUAUAGAUAUUAAGGGAAUAUUACACUGAAGUGUUAACAAUUUUUAUAUUAUUGUGCAGUCUACGAUGCAAUUCCUUAUUUAUAUGACUGUACCUCUGGUUCUAAUAGAACUUAAUUUCACGAGUUUAUUCAACAAAAUAUCCUCAAGAUAGGAAUUUUGAAAGAAGAA
This 452-nucleotide small RNA is filed under the name Histoplasma capsulatum. RNAcentral's name for it is "hypothetical RNA". RNAcentral also lists the same sequence under 1 other name. The record is from RNAcentral. Lineage: Eukaryota; Fungi; Ascomycota; Eurotiomycetes; Onygenales; Ajellomycetaceae.